CAGCAGGCUAGAGGAGCCAGCCUCCUGCUGACAUUAGAAUGAGUCUUCCUGACAUACCAAAAAUUUGACAUAAGAGUCCAGACAAGCAGCAUCUCUCAGUCCAAAAAGUUGCUUUCUGCUACAGCCAAGCAUUAUUGCAUCCAAGUUCAAGUGCCUAAAGGGGACUGGACACUAAACGGUUAGCAGAGCUAAAAUAGAGACAGAUAUGCCAAGGCAGAUAUGUGGCCUGAACACAAGACUUAAGAUGACUUACUACUUAAUUGUUGCAAGAGAAAGAGAUGAGCUCCCUACACAAACUCUGGAGGAAUGUGUCCUGGCAGAGAAGGCCUGGAGUAGAAUGUCUGCCAAAGCUGGGGUUGGACAGACGGACGUCGUCUAAAAGACUUAUGUCAUUUUUGUUGGCCCAUCAUCAAAAAGUGCCAUGCACCAAUUGGUUCGUGGCUGACAAUGAGGCGGACUUUAUGCAGCACGUCAUGAAGCUUUCGUGCCUCCAAGAGGGAUUAUAUUAGAGUUUGGAAACUCAUAUAUUCAAGUUAUGUAUUUUCUGUGCCAUAGUGCGGUUACUGAAUUCCUGAAGGAAUUGAGACAUAGCUAGUAAGUCACAGUUAUCUCCAGUUAAAACAACUUUUAGGAAUGUCAAUGGGUAAUAACUGGUUUGUUUCUUGUUUUUAUGUGUUUCAGUAAAUUCCUGCCUAAAACCAUCCGUUCAACUUAACAUAAAUUCGUUAUCCGUAUAUGAUAACGAGAGGCCUGUUUCUU
Pocillopora verrucosa is the source of this 759-nucleotide non-coding RNA. Lineage: Eukaryota; Metazoa; Cnidaria; Anthozoa; Scleractinia; Pocilloporidae. The record is from RefSeq and is a predicted model, not a curated record.